This 536-nucleotide ribosomal RNA is filed under the name uncultured bacterium. RNAcentral's name for it is "bacterial SSU rRNA". It matches the Rfam family "Bacterial small subunit ribosomal RNA", at positions 199 to 731 of the family's 1533-position model. The record is from RNAcentral.
GUUAAAGGGCGAAUUGUCACUACAAGAUGGACCUGCGUUGUAUUAGCUAGUAGUGAGGUAAUGGCUCACCUAGGCGACGAUACAUAGCCGACCUGAGAGGGUGAUCGGCCACACUGGGACUGAGACACGGCCCAGACUCCUACGGGAGGCAGCAGUAGGGAAUCUUCGGCAAUGGGGGCAACCCUGACCGAGCAACGCCGCGUGAGUGAAGAAGGUUUUCGGAUCGUAAAGCUCUGUUGUAAGUCAAGAACGGGUGUGAGAGUGGAAAGUUCACACUGUGACGGUAGCUUACCAGAAAGGGACGGCUAACUACGUGCCAGCAGCCGCGGUAAGACGGAGGAUGCAAGCGUUAUCCGGAAUGAUUGGGCGUAAAGCGUCCGCAGGUGGCAGUUCAAGUCUGCUGUCAAAGACCGGGGCUUAACUUCGGAAAGGCAGUGGAAACUGAACAGCUAGAGUAUGGUAGGGGCAGAGGGAAUUCCUGGUGUAGCGGUGAAAUGCGUAGAGAUCAGGAAGAACAUCGGUGGUCGACGCGGCCG